UACGAAGGGGGCUAGCGUUGUUCGGAAUUACUGGGCGUAAAGGGCGCGUAGGCGGUACUUCAAGUCAGGCGUGAAAGCCCCGGGCUCAACCUGGGAACCGCGCUUGAGACUGGAGAACUAGAGUUCGGGAGAGGAUGGUGGAAUUCCCAGUGUAGAGGUGAAAUUCGUAGAUAUUGGGAAGAACACCGAUGGCGAAGGCAGCCAUCUGGACCGACACUGACGCUGAGACGCGAAAGCGUGGGGAGCAAACAGG
This 253-nucleotide ribosomal RNA is filed under the name uncultured bacterium. RNAcentral describes it as "partial 16S ribosomal RNA". It matches the Rfam family "Bacterial small subunit ribosomal RNA", at positions 524 to 776 of the family's 1533-position model. The record is from RNAcentral.